This is a long non-coding RNA of Amphiprion ocellaris (clown anemonefish), 608 nucleotides long. Lineage: Eukaryota; Metazoa; Chordata; Actinopteri; Pomacentridae. The record is from Ensembl.
GUUGGACCAAACAGGCCUGCAACGCGUUAUUUCAGACUGAGCUCCGGACCAUUUGGGAAGAAAUGGAAUGGACUACAAAUAUGGAUACUACUUUUUGUCUGAGAUGAACGGUAAUGAAGCAACAACUGGACAUGGUGGACAUCCUUUAUUCUUUCUAAUCACUUGGAAAGAGGAUAAAUCCUAUAAGAGAUUCAGCUCAACAUGCCAGGCUAUACCGGAGGAGGAGCUGUCCCAUCCCAUCCAGUGCGAGACCAACCCCCAUGGUUUAAAUGGAGUCAUCGCUGUUGAUGAUAAAAUUUAUCCUCUAACCUUCCUUAGAGAUCCGGCUCCAUCUGCUGAGGACUCGCCUGGUGCAGGUGGAGGAUCGGAGCAGCUAUCUAGUGUCCAGUGUGAUUCACUCCAUCACCAGAACGAUGCAGUGUUCGAACCUCAUGCAUACCCGGCGCCUGGUGGGAGAUGGAACACCCAGAUGACUGAUGUUCCCUUCAACCUGAGGGAAAUCACUCGUAGUGUGACUGCAGCAAGGUGCAUGCAGAGUCCAUGGAGGGAGAUAGUGUUCACUGUUGGGACUGCCCUGCUCUAUGUAUGUUGCAUGUGUAAAAUCAUGU